Molecule: long non-coding RNA, 732 nt
Filed under: Calidris pygmaea (Spoon-billed sandpiper)
Lineage: Eukaryota; Metazoa; Chordata; Aves; Charadriiformes; Scolopacidae
Description: lncRNA (ENSCPGG00000016166.1)
Source: RNAcentral
UACAUCUUAGUCAGCUGAGCUGGAGACAAAUUAUGAGAACAGCAAGGUCUGACUACAUCCUUAUGCAACCAGGAAAAAAAUCCCUCUUUCUGUUGACAGACAGCUCAGUGCUCUGCCACUGCAGUUCAGCUGGAAAAGGCAGAAACGGGGGAUGCUGAAGCGUGGCUCACCUCUCCUCGCUGCUCCCAGAUGGCUUUUGGACCACUGCUGCUCCACUGCAUAUAGCCACAUGCCAGGGCCCCCUCGCCAGCUCCCCAAAGCGUGUCUUGCCUCUGGGUCUCCAUAGCCGUGGCACAGACAGAAGCCUCCCUCAUGUCAUUGUGGAAAAGCAUUGAGAGGCAGAAGCAGAGGGAGCUGAAUGUUUCUACUACUUUUCAGGGCAGAAGGUGCCUGAAGGGACAGGAAUUGUUUCCAGACCUAGAAGCCGGUCGAAGAACAGCAUUGCCACAAAAUGAAGACAGGAAAUCCUAGCAUACUGACUGGGAACCUGCUUUAACCAGGGGCUGAGCAGAUUUUUUACUAUUAUGAGAAGCAGAUGAGAGACUGUCAUUAAAAAUAAUAGAAAACAUAUGUGAUGUGUUUUCACAGAGUGAAAAUAGUGUGGAAGUUCCACAUAUGAUCAUGCCUACACACUGAACUCAUGUGGAUAGCUUUGCUUUGAUGAUGGUUCCAAACAAGCGAGGAGUCUGCUGGCGUUUUCUUGGAAAAAAUAAAAUUUGUGAUGGAGUGUCA